AACGAACGCUGGCGGCAUGCCUAACACAUGCAAGUCGAACGAAGUCUUCGGACUUAGUGGCGCACGGGUGCGUAACGCGUGGGAAUCUGCCCUUGGGUACGGAAUAACUCAGAGAAAUUUGUGCUAAUACCGUAUAAUGUCUUCGGACCAAAGAUCUAUCGCCCAAGGAUGAGCCCGCGUAAGAUUAGCUAGUUGGUGGGGUAAAAGCCUACCAAGGCGACGAUCUUUAGCUGGUCUGAGAGGAUGAUCAGCCACACUGGGACUGAGACACGGCCCAGACUCCUACGGGAGGCAGCAGUGGGGAAUAUUGGACAAUGGGCGAAAGCCUGAUCCAGCAAUGCCGCGUGAGUGAUGAAGGCCCUAGGGUUGUAAAGCUCUUUUACCAGGGAUGAUAAUGACAGUACCUGGAGAAUAAGCUCCGGCUAACUCCGUG
Molecule: ribosomal RNA, 433 nt
Filed under: uncultured bacterium
Lineage: Bacteria
Description: partial 16S ribosomal RNA
Rfam family: Bacterial small subunit ribosomal RNA
Source: RNAcentral